GUAUUUGAUUAUUAUAGGCACGUAGGCCCAUUGAUCACAUUCUACAACAUACUAUGUGGUAUAUGAAUACAUAGUACUCGAGGGAGAGGUUUUGCAAGUCAUUUGAGAAGAGCUGUAUGCUUUCACACUCAGCAUUCCUCACGUCCGAAAAGGCCAUAUAGCCAUCCGAUAGUCGACUGCUCUCAACCCCCAAGACUACAAAAGGUGCACAGGUGAACGAAUAAAGUCAAGACAAGUGUGCACAUGCCCCGGAGAGCCAGCUACAACCCAUCAAGAAUAUUCAAUAAUGAUCCUUCCGCAGGUUCACCUACGGAAA
This 316-nucleotide unclassified non-coding RNA is filed under the name uncultured fungus. RNAcentral's name for it is "sequence contains ITS1, 5.8S rRNA gene". The record is from RNAcentral. Lineage: Eukaryota; Fungi.